AAUUCUCAAACCUUCUUGGUUUCUAUGACCGAGAAGGCUUUGGACUUUGGAGGUCUUUGCUGGCUUUGCGAAAAGUCAGCUCCUCUUAAAUGCAUUAGUGGGGUCCUCUUUGCGGGUCUUUAGGCGUUGAUAAGAUGUUUCUACGUCUUGGGACUUGCUCUGUUUGAUGGGAACUCGCUUCUAACCGUCUCACUAUAAGGAGACACUGUUCGAGCUUUGCUCGACGCACGAA
Molecule: unclassified non-coding RNA, 232 nt
Filed under: uncultured Russula
Lineage: Eukaryota; Fungi; Basidiomycota; Agaricomycetes; Russulales; Russulaceae
Description: sequence contains ITS2
Source: RNAcentral